Long non-coding RNA from Acinonyx jubatus (cheetah), 2693 nucleotides. RefSeq lists it as uncharacterized. Lineage: Eukaryota; Metazoa; Chordata; Mammalia; Carnivora; Felidae. The transcript has 5 exons. The record is from RefSeq and is a predicted model, not a curated record.
GUAUCGGCACCAGCGUUGACAGAGAUUUGCUCUUAGAUGUUAUCAGGUGUAUGGGGACCAAGGAUGUUUUCCCACCAGAGAAUGAUUAACUUUCUUGUCUCCCCCUUGGAGUAGGAACAUAGCUUCUUUAGUUUACUCAGAUGCAAGGUGAAAUACAGAGCAUGAGGAAAUGGGACCGGCGGAGACACAGCCAAGAUGGAGCGUUUCCAAAAUGGACUCCCUUCAGUUCCCCUACGUCAAUGCCUUGAAGGAUUACAAAAUGAUACAUGAAGAAAAAAACAUGAAAGCAUCCAGACAGUAAGAAACAGAAGUUCAGAGAAAGGACUAAGGCCAUUAGGAAAAGGUAAAAAAACCGUUCAGGUGUCACAGAAUGAACACAAACCUGAGAGUUUUCUGCUCUGGGUGCCCCUUCCAAUAGCUGUGACAAUGGACUUCUUUGGACCUCAGUUUCCUCAACUACAAAUCAAAGACAUGGACAGACGGUCAGCCAACCUUUGAUGAGGCAAGUAAAGAGGCAAAAUGUUGGGAUUCCGGCAUGCCAACAAAUGGACCCUAUCACUGGAAUAAGAGAAAUUUCAGGUUUGUUCAUGCUGCUUUGUUUCCUUCUGUGCAUGAUGUUUUAACUGAGUUGCAGACAUUACUGAAGAAAAAUUGGAAAAAAAAAUUGUCGGGCCCUAAAUGAUGUUGCAUUUCACAUUAGAGGCCAGAGAUUUUGGCAACACUGAAAUCAGUUUAAUAUACACAACUAUUGAGAAUGCUAAGUUGGAUGUUAGUCUUUGAACUAUGUUUAUUCCUAUUAUUCCUAUAAUUGUUGGACAAAUCAUUCCCAGCCAAAUUGCUAGGAGUUGUAACAAGAUUUCAACUCAUGCCCCGGUAUGCAUGAACUUUGGUUCCUCUUGUCCCAUGGAUAUUCAGAUGAAUCCUUUUUUAUCUGGCAUUUCUUCAUCUCUACUGAUAUUUUGCUGUUGUUUUACAGUCUGUUUUAUCUGAGAUUAGUACAGCCACUCUAGUUUUCUGUGGUUUCUGUUUGUAGACUUUUUUCUAUCAUUUUGCUUUCAACUCAUAUCUUCAAAUCCAGUGUGUCCCCUGAAGACAACACGUAAUAGGCUAUUGUUUAUUUUAACCAUAUUGACCAACUCUGCCUUUUGAUUGGAUUGUUUACUUCAUUCACAUUUAAUGUUCGGAUUUAUGGCUUAUAGUUUUGUUUGUUUUACAUAAAUUGCCUGUCCUCAAUGUUUCUCCAUCAUUAACUGCUUUCUUUUGCAUUAAGUGAAUAUUUUUCAGUAUAACAUUUUCAUUUCUUUAAUAAAUAAGAAGAAAGAAUAAAGAAAGAAGAGGAGAAAGAGGAAGAGGAGAACAACAAGAACAACGAUGAUGAUCACAACUCCAUGUGCUUGGGCUUUAGAUUUAUUUUAUUUUUCAAUUAAUUUUGCUCCAGGUCUGAUUAUCCAAUCCGUUUGAGUGUUUAGGUCUAAAGCAUUCAAUAUUAAUAUAUUUUAUCCUUAAAAUGGCUCAAGUGAAUCAUAUGCCCAAAGUGAUCUGGAGUCAGUUCCUUUGAAAACCCUGCAAUUGUUGAGGGGUGCAUGGGUUGCUCAGUGGGUUGGGCGUCCCACUUCGACUCAGGUCAUGAUCUCACAGUCGUGAGUUCGAGCCCCACGUCGGGCUCUGUGCUGACAGGUCAGAGCCUGGAGGCUGCUUCAGAAUCUGUCUCCCCUCUUUCUCUGCCUCUCUCUCUUUCUCUCUCUCUCUCUCUCUCUGUCUCUCAAAACUGAAUAAACGUUAAAAAAGUAUCGAAACCCUUGGAAUGUUCAAAGCACACAGUUUUGCUGGCUUCAUGUUUUUCUAAGGAAUAAGUCUAAGCAGGCUCAUAGAGGAAUUUUCUGGAGGAGACGCUGAAUGUGUUUCAACUUGGUCAAUCUUCAAAGGCCCAAGAAAGCAGGAAAAUCAAAUAGUUCAUAGUUUGUGCCAAAUAUUUUCUUAAUGACCAGCAAUCCAAGUGGUGAUUGCAUUUGGUUGUUAAGAAACCUCUUUCGGUCUCCCAGAGACAGGCACUGGAUCUGAGGUUAUCACUGCAUUGGCUCAAAUGCUCAGUUAGUAAUGGCUUCAGUCAAAAGAUCAACUUAAAAGAAGCAAGCUCUUAUCCAUUGAAUAUUUCAAGCAAGUAUUGAUUGUGUUGCAUUUUUUCUUAGAUGUUUGCUAUUUUUUAUUUCAACUCACUUUCAAGUGGAAAUACUGUCAAAAUUCCAUAAUUCAUAGUUAAACUAAAGCUUGUUUGAAGCCCUUAUAAAACGGAUCACAGCCUUGAUUUAAAAAUCAAAUAAAUAUAUUUAGAGAAAAUAAAUAAAUAUAGCUAGAGAAAAUAUAUUAAAGGAAAUAUAGAAAAAAUCCUUAGACAUACACAGUAGUCAGAUCUUGUAGGUCUCAUAUUCCUCAGUUACUUUGCAGUUAUAAUCUGAAUAGAAUACUAAGGAUUAGAAAGUAAAAAAGAAAAUUGGCAAAAACAAACUGAUCUUUGCUUGGCUUAAUAUUAUUACAUACCUCAGAAUCUUAAAAAUCACUCUUAUAAUGAAUCAGCCAUAAGGUUGGCCUUAAUUAAUUCAGUCUCCUGUGCAAGAUCAUAAAUGAAACAUAAUUCAUUGUAAUUUUCAUUUACCCUCCUCUACCCUUUAAAAAAUAAGAAACUUCUAUUUUAA